UUCUGUCUCGUUGGCCUUCCGCGUUGGU
RNAcentral lists this non-coding RNA (28 nucleotides) under Bombyx mori (domestic silkworm). The record is from RNAcentral. Lineage: Eukaryota; Metazoa; Arthropoda; Insecta; Lepidoptera; Bombycidae.